This 294-nucleotide long non-coding RNA is filed under the name Brassica napus (rape). Its description in RNAcentral is "long non-coding RNA (BNAP_LNC007680)". Lineage: Eukaryota; Viridiplantae; Streptophyta; Magnoliopsida; Brassicales; Brassicaceae. The record is from RNAcentral.
CAGCACUGUCUCUUAAAGCAUUCUUCAUGUUGUGAUGAUGUUACAACUUAGGCUGAUACAUCAACAGACCAUGUUCCUAUCUCACAAAUCAGAAAUCUUGUACUCUCUUGUCGCCAAAAAAUACAACCAUACUUGCUUGUCUUGUACCGCUGUUGAUAAACAGGACACGCCGCCUAACUCCUCUAGCUAGGAAGACUUUCGAUACCAGAUUUUAGUAUACAAUAUUGCAUAAAAAAUGCAUUCAAAGACAAUCCUCAUGAAUCAUGAUGUCUCCAAUGCCUUCAGCUUCUAGAC